UUGUUGCGGACAAAUAAAGUGAAUGUGGGUAUCGAUACCGCCUGCGGUUGCAAUUAAAUGUGCGCCGUUAUGCACUUCUGUGCUUGCACCGAUAAUCAUAUUUGGCGUGACGUUAUCCAUGGUGUCAGGGUUACCCGCUUGUCCAAUGCCGACAAUACGACCAUCGCGAAUACCAAUAUCUGCUUUGAUAAUGCCUAAUUUCGCAUCAAUGAUCAUCACGUUGGUAAUCACAAAAUCUAAUACUUUCGGAUUGUCGCGAGUUGCGGUGCCGCUUUGUGCCAUACCAUCGCG
RNAcentral lists this small RNA (291 nucleotides) under Pseudohaemophilus paraphrohaemolyticus. Its description in RNAcentral is "Haemophilus paraphrohaemolyticus 5' ureB small RNA". It matches the Rfam family "5' ureB small RNA". Lineage: Bacteria; Pseudomonadati; Pseudomonadota; Gammaproteobacteria; Pasteurellales; Pasteurellaceae. The record is from RNAcentral.